UCAAAUGAUGAUAAACAUCUCAGACCUGUUCUGAAAUUCAAUGUGGACAACAUUUAUUGCCUAUAUAACUGAUU
Molecule: small nucleolar RNA, 74 nt
Filed under: Basidiobolus meristosporus CBS 931.73
Lineage: Eukaryota; Fungi; Basidiobolomycota; Basidiobolomycetes; Basidiobolales; Basidiobolaceae
Description: Small nucleolar RNA snR56
Rfam family: Small nucleolar RNA snR56
Source: Rfam by way of RNAcentral